GGUUUCCUAAAUGCCACACUUAUCGCUAACGGAACAACCACGAGCAUUGUCGGAGACCUUAGUUAAUUUUCCAGGUUUUUCUUCGUCAUCCCCUGGGAUAAUGAUUUUAUAACGUGUGCUAUAUUUGUCCUGGUGACGUUUAAAACUGAAGAAAUUCAAGGACCACGUGUUGGUGCAUAAAACUUUGGUGUCUAAGAGUCGUGGUUUCUUAGAAGCCACUCCAUCUGAAAAUCUCCUUAUGUCCUAAAUUAAGAAUAUCAAUUAAUCAAUUUGAAUACGUUAAGUUAGUAAUAAUUUUAGGUGACGAUGACAAAGUUUAAUUGGAGGUUUAAAAAAAGAAUAUCUAGACGCGAUGCUAUAAUGCUAUUCUUGUAAUUUGGGUAAACUGCGAGAUGAAUAAUUGAAGAAAAUAAAGUAAUGUUGCAACGUCCAAGUACUGUCCAGUACCACGUUCAGCUCAUGCGCAUGCGCCACCACUGGGCCGUCACGUCGGGCACCUCCCACCACUUCUCCCACCAACGAUUGAUUUUUUAUACCAUCAGGUGAAGCUCCAAAAUAUCCAUGAAGAACAUCUACCAAUAAACCAGCAGGCAUUAUAAUUUUAUGAUAUUCCCCUCCGUCGGAUCCAACGGAUGCAGUGGACGUCCACAUAGAUGAGAUCGGAGAUCUCGAAAUGAGGUGGGAACUGUUGAACUAGGACGAAGAUCGGCGGAUUCUGAACGAGGUGAAGCGAAUGCGACAGGAGAAGUAACACCAAGCCAGUGAGACGAUUCGAGGAACGGUUCCUCAACGCGAUACAAGGUACGCACAUAUUUGAAUCGUAUAGCGGAGUGUCUAGCCGAAGGGAUAUCAACCCGCCAUCCACCACCAACAGUGGCGGCGCCGACCGGUUCAACAUGGGACAUGCACACAUGCAGCUACAAAGCGAGGCGAAGCUGUAGUUCCUCAACAAGACAUAUGAAAUCGGAUGAAGCGUACAUUUACGUAAGGCCACCACUGCGCUUCCGCCUACAGCAAACCCGAGGCCGUUCUUCCAAAGACCAAAUUCGCAACCACUAGGUCGCCUCAGAGACAGAAAGACGACCGAUGAUGGCAAACCAAAAGACGACUGGCCGGCUGCGAUUCCAUACGAAGUUUCAACUGACAAGAAGAAGUUCACAUCGGACACGAUUUCCUACGAUUCAGGACAAACGACAUCUGACCGUGUACCUAGACUCCGGUAACGAGGGCAACGUCAUCUCGCCAGAAUGUGUGAAACGAAUAGGCCUGCAGACCUGUCCCCUGUACUGAGACACUAUCAGGUUUUGGAAGCGACAAGGCGGACCCAAAAAGGCAGAGCCAGCUGGCGGUGACCGUCGACCGAUGCCAGCUUACGAUGGACGAGUGUUUGGAGUGGAUCUGAUGAACGAUGGACAUACCUACAAAGAGGUUAGAGGUCAGGAAGUGACUUUGUUCUGCUCGACAGACAGCAAGCGAGACAAUCAGAGAAACCACAAGUGGACGCCUAACUGGAGCGCAAGCUUCGCCUCGGACCAGGGGCCUGUAGCACAAACUCUACAGUCCUACAAUUAAAAGGAGUGUAACUUCGAGAACAUUCGCGGGAACAGCGAAUUCAAGUGUGCCGUAUGCCUUGACUACAUGAAACCACCAAUCCGAAUGUGCGUCAUCGGUCACAGCUGCUGCAAAUCCUGCUCCAGGCGUAUGAAUCAAUGUCCUGAAUGCAGAGGCCAGAAGAGCGAUUUCAGGAACAUAAACCUGGAGAGGAUAUUUUACAAACUUGUCUUCCCUUGCCAAAAUGCGGAGUACGGCCGUGAGUUCAGUGCCAAGGGACUGGAAGUCAUGACGCACGAGGACAAGUGCGUUUAUUCAAAUCUGCCGUGUCCGUUUACUAGUUACGGGUGCACAUGGUCGGGAUUGUACACCACAAUGGAGGAUCAUUUAAGAGAGACGCAUAAUUUCAAGGAUGAUAUUGCUGAUUUUUAUGAAUUGAGGGGCCUCGACGAAGGAGCCAAUUGUUGGAGGGAGGCAUUGAAGUUCGACGGACAUUUAUUCAUAGUUUGCGUAAGAAAGACGGAAGAUAAUUUUUGGUUUGGGGUUUACUCGAUCCUCGAUACAGAUGUUACGUACCAUUAUGAUAUUAUAUUCGUAAAUUUGGAGGAUAAUACUGCGGCCAAUUAUAGCGGUACUUGCUCCACUCACAAAAAAUACGCGAGCGUAGAAUUGAACAAGCACAAUAUGCAGGCUGCACCUGGAUCGUUGAUUGAAAGUUUGAGACAGGGCAACGUUAUUAAUUACGAUAUUGAAAUCUUACGUAAAAACUCGUUAAACGAAUCAAUAUAAUGAUUCAAGUUUGUAAUAAUGAUAUUAAAAAUAAAUUGAAUGAAUUGAAAAU
Aethina tumida (small hive beetle) is the source of this 2392-nucleotide long non-coding RNA. RefSeq lists it as uncharacterized. The transcript is spliced from 5 exons. The record is from RefSeq and is a predicted model, not a curated record. Lineage: Eukaryota; Metazoa; Arthropoda; Insecta; Coleoptera; Nitidulidae.